AGCGAACGCUGGCGGCAGGCUUAACACAUGCAAGUCGAGCGGGCGUAGCAAUACGUCAGCGGCAGACGGGUGAGUAACGCGUGGGAACGUACCUGUUGGUUCGGAACAACACAGGGAAACUUGUGCUAAUACCGGAUAAGCCCUUACGGGGAAAGAUUUAUCGCCGAAAGAUCGGCCCGCGUCUGAUUAGCUAGUUGGUGAGGUAACGGCUCACCAAGGCGACGAUCAGUAGCUGGUCUGAGAGGAUGAUCAGCCACAUUGGGACUGAGACACGGCCCAAACUCCUACGGGAGGCAGCAGUGGGGAAUAUUGGACAAUGGGGGCAACCCUGAUCCAGCCAUGCCGCGUGAGUGAUGAAGGCCCUAGGGUUGUAAAGCUCUUUUGUGCGGGAAGAUAAUGACGGUACCGCAAGAAUAAGCCCCGGCUAACUUCGUG
Molecule: ribosomal RNA, 435 nt
Filed under: uncultured bacterium
Lineage: Bacteria
Description: partial 16S ribosomal RNA
Rfam family: Bacterial small subunit ribosomal RNA
Source: RNAcentral